Topomyia yanbarensis is the source of this 405-nucleotide long non-coding RNA. RefSeq lists it as uncharacterized. The record is from RefSeq and is a predicted model, not a curated record. NCBI's taxonomy places the organism in Eukaryota, Metazoa, Arthropoda, Insecta, Diptera, Culicidae. The transcript is spliced from 2 exons.
UUGGCACUAUUUAAAGAGUCCCUUCGCCAAGCUAGAAUCAUCACAACCCGGGCAACGUUCAACAGUUUGACAAGUAGGGCAGUACUCUGUGAAACGUAAAAAAAACAACAUGGCUUCCAAAACCAUUCUUCUACUCCUAAUCGUGGCUACCCUGAUGAUGACGGUUACGAACUCAGUCGAAGGUUUGCAACUGUUGGAGGAUCCCAAUAUCAAAUUAAGGGGAACCAAGGUCGCAAAUGCUCCCCAUUCUGCUCAAGUAGCUGGCGCAGCCCAAGCAGCGGAAGCACCUGUCAAUCUUGGGGGUUAGAGAGUAUCUGGUUUGGGAUACCGGAAAUAUUCGAUUUAUUUUUUCCUUUAUAUCCAAAAGCUUCUUGAUAUUUGAUAAACAGCACCAUUCGCACAUUA